GAGACUGUGCUAGAGAGAGAGAAUGUGUGUGAGAGAGAGAGAGAGUGUGUGUGUGUGUGUGUGUGUGUGUGUGUGUGUGUGUGUUUUCAGAGGAUUCCUAAGGGGAUGUCUGGUGCCAGAGGCUGGUGUCGGCUCUGGGGAGUUGGCGUGUCUCCCGUGAGAAGCUUGAACGCUGAGCGGGGAAUCAUUCCGGGACAGCAGCAGGAACAAAGCCACAGAUGUGUGUGUGUGUGUGUCGUCUCCUGCUGGACGGCCCGGCGCUGAACAGCAGCCAGUCUGAAUCAGGACGCUGCAGAGGAAGUGUGCCAGUCUCAUCUGUUCCUGUGGUGACUGUUUAUAGAAAUCUGUCCUUUUGUCUUUUUUGUAAAUUCAAUCAUCCGGGGAAAUCGCUCAGAAAGAUUCAAGCCUGAGUAGAAAGUCAAAAUCUUUUAUAGAGGUGAAUAUUUUUAGAAAAGAUGUGAUGUACAAAAGAUUCUGUAUUAAAAGCGACGUCAACGAGAA
Sander lucioperca (pikeperch) is the source of this 501-nucleotide long non-coding RNA. RefSeq lists it as uncharacterized. The transcript is spliced from 2 exons. The record is from RefSeq and is a predicted model, not a curated record. Lineage: Eukaryota; Metazoa; Chordata; Actinopteri; Perciformes; Percidae.